AUCUCAUCCGGUCCCAAAGCCAGCUGCCCUGCGGAGAGGAGCCGACCGGCACCGGGCACAUCUCUGGGAGGGCGAGGCUGGGAGAAAGGCAUUGAGCUAAAGAUGAGAAGAAGCGUUCCCUGGAGCCUGCAUGGCAUCAAUCAUGAGAAUGGAUGUUGAGGGUUAUGCACCCCACUGAGGCAGCACUGAAUGCCAGAUCCCAAGUUACAGAGGUGCUUGACACCGAUGGGAGGAUGUGGUGGUGAUGGUGGAGGCAGAGCUGUGAAGAACUGAGAGGCUGUUAGAAAACCGCGGUGGAACAGUGGCUGGGGAAAGACCUUGGCUUAGGACAUGAAUCCAGUGACCUGAGGUCAGCAGUUUCUAUCUGAACCGAAGCCAGGUUGACCUGGGGCCUGGGCAGGUAAGAACCCUGCUUUUCCAGAUAUGAAGUCUAAUAGGAAC
Molecule: long non-coding RNA, 441 nt
Filed under: Pan troglodytes (chimpanzee)
Lineage: Eukaryota; Metazoa; Chordata; Mammalia; Primates; Hominidae
Description: long non-coding RNA NONPTRT007720
Source: RNAcentral